GACGUCUUUUUUUCAGAGAAGUCCUCGGCUCCGUGGAGAGACGGGUGCUCCGUCGCCUCGCGAGACGACGACCAUGUCCCGUGCUUCGAGGCGGAAUAGACGCCACAGCAGCGUUGUAGGAUUUUGUCUCCGUGACUCGACGACAAACUGGGAUCCUGCGCGCCAAAUGCAUCUGCACCUACAUAUCUGCCCGCCGGCGUCCUUGCUUCCCCCUCGGUCACGCUGGCUGUUCGGCGCCGAUGGCUCGCUCCCUCAGUCGUGGUGGUGGCUCGGCGCCGACGGCCCGCUCCCUCACUCGUGGUGGCAGGUCAGCAUUGGCCACGACCCGCGCAAUCACCAGUGUUCUUGUUAAUGGCGCAGCGAUGGCGCCAUCCUCCAGCGGUGCAUCCACCAGAGGCAAGCUUUCCCAACUUUGACAGAGAUGCACGCGUGAUACCUGGAUUGCUAUCAUUUUUAGGUUUCUGAAUCUACCGACACGACCAUUAGUUUCAGAUUCAGUUUUAGAUCGAUUUCUGAAUCUAUCGAAACAUCAGGUCCAGCGGAGGCAGCUAUCAGUUUCGGAUUUCUGAUAGCUACUAGCCAAUUUUCUGAAUCUUCAGUUAGAGCAAGUCUGUGAGCACUGUGAUUUUUCUAAAUGUGUCGUUUAUCAUAUAUAUAUACUGCUCCCCUUCUAGCUAUUGUUCUGAAUGUUUGAAUCGAGCGCUAGAUUACUGCUGCCCUUGUAGCUAUUUUUGUGACACUAGUGUGCACGUUGGAAUGAGAAAAGAGCUUUACUUUAUGAUUAUGAAUGUGAAUAAAUCUUUGCUAGUUACAAACUGCUCCCCUUCUCCAUCCAGCCGAUGGUUUUCAAAAACAUGUUGCACGUAUAAACAAUAUAUGAUUUAUGUCCAUGGUCUCUAAAAAAUAUUGUAAUCAUAUUACUCUUAUUUAUGAUUGAUACAUUUUGUUCAAAUAGCCACACAAUGACAUACAAAAAUUUAUUUUACAGUUGAUCUUAGCUAUAUGUAAAGCAUUAAACAGCUUAUAGACUAUGAGACCAUCUAUGGGUUGUAUGAUCUGUCUUUAUACUCGUCUGUAUGAUAGAUUUGAGACGUUUAGAGACAACCACUAGUCUGUGCGCGUUGUACAUGCCCUAAUCAAUGCGGGGCUGGGGCGUGGAUCACUCAUCGCUGUCAUGGCGGCGUUGGGCUCCGCAAUGGCGACACCAUUCAGAGCCUCAGAGGUGGAGCGUGCAGAGUGCAGUGCUCAUGGGCUGCUGCGACUGCAACGACAGCGAGCGAGGAGAUCACUGACGACGGAAAGCGAGCCGAGGCGAGCUGAGGUGAUCGAGGAGGGACAGAGGCUAGUGGUGGUGCUGCGUGGUGGCGGUGCCUUGAGGAUUCGGGAAAAGAAAACAACGGUCGGCGUUGUUGCCGGUCAUAUAUACUGCAUGAUCAGAUCAGAUGCGAUCUCUCUUCACGAGUGCUCUGCUCCGGAUGCUGCUGCGUCCCGCUCCAGCGUGGACAGUCGGUCCACUGGCCCCUGAACCGCUGCUACCAACUGGCAUAUACUACUGUAUGGGCUUGUGUGCUUUGAGAUGCACGCAGCACUGGCUUGGCUUCUGGCCUUGUGUGCUUUGAUAAGAUGCAACUGUGAUUAUACUACACCCCCAAACUUGGUAGUAUUAUUAUUGGUGACAAACCCAGGCCCAGCUCCAGUCUCUCCAAAUUGAGACGCUGACAGAUCAAGCCGAGCGUACAGUAAUUAUGUUUGUGCAGCCACACAAAAGGAACUGCAGGAAGUAAUGAAAGAAAAAGGGUCGGUUUCAGGCAAAGUGGAGGAGCAAUGGGCGGUGCCCGAGGCAGAGGCUUGGGCCGCUGGGGGCACAACACAACACAACACACCACCACCACCUGCCCUGCCCCUGCUGCUGCCUUGGGUUUUGCUUCGCUUUCACGACCAUGAUGAUGAUGCAGCCCGCUGCUGGCCUCUCAGCCGGACACACUCUCGUCGUUUGGGAAAUGCGAACGAGCUGGCGCCUGAUGCCAUGGAUCUGAUCGGCACUGCUCGUCUGUGGUCUCUCAGCUCUCAGCCGCUUCGAAUAUGAAUAUGUAGUAGCAACGCUGCCCUUGCUUCACCAGCCAGCCACCUUGGGGGGGCCUCACGCGCUCAGGGUACAAAGUAGGAACGCAUCCGAAUCGAGUUUUUGGGGCGGUGGGUGGUUAGCUUGCGAGGUCAUCCAUUCAGCCCAAGAAAA
Molecule: long non-coding RNA, 2236 nt
Organism: Sorghum bicolor (sorghum)
Lineage: Eukaryota; Viridiplantae; Streptophyta; Magnoliopsida; Poales; Poaceae
Exons: 2
Source: RefSeq, a predicted model, not a curated record